Molecule: small nuclear RNA, 90 nt
Filed under: Nomascus leucogenys (northern white-cheeked gibbon)
Lineage: Eukaryota; Metazoa; Chordata; Mammalia; Primates; Hylobatidae
Description: U2 spliceosomal RNA
Rfam family: U2 spliceosomal RNA
About the family: U2 is a small nuclear RNA (snRNA) component of the spliceosome (involved in pre-mRNA splicing). Complementary binding between U2 snRNA (in an area lying towards the 5' end but 3' to hairpin I) and the branchpoint sequence (BPS) of the intron results the bulging out of an unpaired adenosine, on the BPS, which initiates a nucleophilic attack at the intronic 5' splice site, thus starting the first of two transesterification reactions that mediate splicing.
Source: Rfam by way of RNAcentral
AUCGCUUCUCGGCCUUUUGACUAAGAUCAAGUGUACUAUCUGUUCUUAUCUGAUGAAGACAGGAAAAUAGGGGAAAUUGUGGAACUUCCU